CCUACGGGGAGCAGCAGUGGGGAAUAUUGGACAAUGGGCGAAAGCCUGAUCCAGCCAUGCCGCGUGUGUGAAGAAGGCCUUCGGGUUGUAAAGCACUUUCAGUGGGGAAGAAAGCCUUGGGGCUAAUACCCUCGAGGAAGGACAUCACCCACAGAAGAAGCACCGGCUAACUCCGUGCCAGCAGCCGCGGUAAUACGGAGGGUGCGAGCGUUAAUCGGAAUUACUGGGCGUAAAGCGCGCGUAGGCGGUCUGAUAAGCCGGUUGUGAAAGCCCCGGGCUCAACCUGGGAACGGCAUCCGGAACUGUCAGGCUAGAGUGCAGGAGAGGAAGGUAGAAUUCCCGGUGUAGCGGUGAAAUGCGUAGAGAUCGGGAGGAAUACCAGUGGCGAAGGCGGCCUUCUGGACUGACACUGACGCUGAGGUGCGAAAGCGUGGGUAGCAAACAGGACUAGAUACCCCGGUAGUC
RNAcentral lists this ribosomal RNA (465 nucleotides) under Vreelandella stevensii. RNAcentral describes it as "partial 16S ribosomal RNA". It matches the Rfam family "Bacterial small subunit ribosomal RNA", at positions 338 to 795 of the family's 1533-position model. Lineage: Bacteria; Pseudomonadati; Pseudomonadota; Gammaproteobacteria; Oceanospirillales; Halomonadaceae. The record is from RNAcentral.